This 940-nucleotide ribosomal RNA is filed under the name Fomitopsis quercina. RNAcentral describes it as "LSU rRNA". It matches the Rfam family "Eukaryotic large subunit ribosomal RNA", at positions 35 to 961 of the family's 3401-position model. Lineage: Eukaryota; Fungi; Basidiomycota; Agaricomycetes; Polyporales; Fomitopsidaceae. The record is from RNAcentral.
UAAGCAUAUCAAUAAGCGGAGGAAAAGAAACUAACAAGGAUUCCCCUAGUAACUGCGAGUGAAGCGGGAAAAGCUCAAAUUUAAAAUCUGGCGGUCUUUGGCCGUCCGAGUUGUAGUCUGGAGAAGUGUUUUCCGUGCUGGACCGUGUACAAGUCUCUUGGAACAGAGCGUCAUAGAGGGUGAGAAUCCCGUCUUUGACACGGACUACCAGUGCUUUGUGAUGCGCUCUCAAAGAGUCGAGUUGUUUGGGAAUGCAGCUCAAAAUGGGUGGUAAAUUCCAUCUAAAGCUAAAUAUUGGCGAGAGACCGAUAGCGAACAAGUACCGUGAGGGAAAGAUGAAAAGCACUUUGGAAAGAGAGUUAAACAGUACGUGAAAUUGCUGAAAGGGAAACGCUUGAAGUCAGUCGCGUUGAUCAGAACUCAGCCUUGCUUUUGCUUGGUGCAUUUUCUGGUUGACGGGCCAGCAUCGAUUUUGACCAUCGGAAAAAGGCCAGGGGAAUGUGGCACCUUCGGGUGUGUUAUAGCCCUUGGUCACAUACGGUGGUUGGGAUCGAGGACCGCAGCACGCCUUUAUGGCCGGGGUUCGCCCACGUUCGUGCUUAGGAUGCUGGCGUAAUGGCUUUAAACGACCCGUCUUGAAACACGGACCAAGGAGUCUAACAUGCCUGCGAGUGUUUGGGUGGAAAACCCGAGCGCGUAAUGAAAGUGAAAGUUGAGAUCCCUGUCGUGGGGAGCAUCGACGCCCGGACCUGAACUUCGGUGAUGGCUCUGCGGUAGAGCAUGUAUGUUGGGACCCGAAAGAUGGUGAACUAUGCCUGAAUAGGGUGAAGCCAGAGGAAACUCUGGUGGAGGCUCGUAGCGAUUCUGACGUGCAAAUCGAUCGUCAAAUUUGGGUAUAGGGGCGAAAGACUAAUCGAACCAUCUAGUAGCUGGUUCCUGC